UAGGAACUUUAAUCUCCAAUUUCUUGAAGAUUUCAAUGAAGCACUUAAAUUUCUUUUCUUUCCUAUGAUAUUUCUUUUGAUGAGGAAGAGGUUUUGCAUAUGAUAUUUUCUUCUUUCCUCUCUUCCUCUUUUUCUUAAUCUCCUCCCUCAACUUUCUUUUUUUCUCUUUUCUUCUUUUCUUCUUUAUUUUCACAUAUUUUUUCUCUUUUCUCAACCACUGUUUUUUCUCCCUCAUCAUCGUUAUCUUCCUCAACCAACUUUUCUGUUUCUAUUUCCUCCAUCUUUUCCUCAUCUAUCUCUAUCUCUUUUUCCUCUAUCUUCUCCUCCUUUCUCUCCAUAUUUUUCUCCUCUAUCUUCUCCUCCUUUUUCUCCAUUUUUUCUCCUCUAUCUUUUCCUCAUCUAUCUCUAUAUCUUUUUCCUUUAUCUUCUCAUCAACAACCUUAUCACUUUUAGAGAUAGUGGCUUGGCACUCCUCCCUAGGGUUAACUUCAGUACUAACCCUAGAAUCAUUCAAAGAUGCAGUCACGCAAUCUAAUUCUAUCUCCUUCCUUUUACAUCUUGCGUCAUCAUAUUCUGAAA
RNAcentral lists this long non-coding RNA (579 nucleotides) under Vigna radiata. RNAcentral's name for it is "long non-coding RNA (VRAD_LNC016446)". The record is from RNAcentral. Lineage: Eukaryota; Viridiplantae; Streptophyta; Magnoliopsida; Fabales; Fabaceae.